GGAGAUUACAAACAGUUCACACAGGACUCCUGGAAGGAUCUCAUUCUGUAUUAUGAAUAUUUUCAUGCAGAUAGUGGGCGAGGAUGUGGGGCAAGGUAAAAUAAUACAGGUCUUAUCAUUGUCUGGGGCACAGUGAAGAUAAAUACAAAGAAAAAGACUAUGGAUUUAUGUUUUGGAGACAAAUCUUUCAAAAUACUUAUGCUAAAAUUUGUACAGUGGAACAAUUAUUUGUGUGCAGUUAGCUGUUGUACUAUGAAUUCGGUGGUUCCUGUAAAUUUUGUCAAAAUAAUAUUCCAUUUUUUUCCGUAUUUUACUUAUAAAUGGACUUAGUUUUUCUGCCAGGAAACAUUACAUUCACUCUGUGGUUAAAGUUUUUUUUAAAUUUUAAUAACCUUCUCAAACUAUCUUAUUCUUCUCAUAUAUUUUAUGAUGGUAUGAUACUAAACCCCUAACGGGAAGGAUUGUGCCUGAUGUUCAUAUGAUGAAAUCAUAAUCUUUCAGUCAGAUUAAUUGAAGUCUGGAGCUGGCAUGUCAAUUAACUGCUAGUAGUCUGUUGUAAUUUAUGUAUUAUUGUCAUUUUGUUUAUUUUCUUUGAUUACAUCUUCUGACAUCAGACUCGGACUUCUCUUGAACUGAAUUUUAAUGUGCAUAUUGUUAUGCGUUUACUUUUCUACAUUGGCUAGAGGUAUAGGGGGAGGGUUGAGAUCUCACAAACAUGCUUAACCUCGCCGCAUUUUUGCGCCUGUCCCAAGUCAGGAGCCUCUGGCCUUUGUUAGUCUUGUAUUAUUUUAAUUUUAGUUUCUUGUGUACAAUUUGGAAAUUAGUAUGGCGUUCAUUAUCACUGAACUAGUAUAUAUUUGUUUAGGGGCCAGCUGAAGGACACCUCCGGGUGCGGGAAUUUCUUGCUACAUUGAAGACCUGUUGGUGACCUUCUGCUGUUGUUUUUUUCUAUGGUCGGGUUGUGGUCUCUUUGGCACAUUCCCCAUUUCCAUUCUCAAUUUUAUCCUGGGUUUGUACCAAACUUAGACAGAAGCUAUUAUGACCAUUUUCAAAAAAAAUAAUGUGAAAAUUUGGUAUUGUUUAUGUCUGUAUAUUAUAUUUGUUCAGCAUCUACCUUGUUUAAGGAAACCACCAAAAAAAAGACUAUAUGGAUAAUAGCUUUUUAUAAAAUUUGAGAUUCUUUACCUCAACAUGUUGAAAAAUUCAAUAAAUGGUCAAUUAAUGAACUACUGAAAUCUAUAUUGUAGCUUGAUAUGAGAUAUGAAAACACCUUCAGCAGAGGCUAAUUCAGGGGGCAAUAAUUUGGUUGCUUAUUUAGGGAAUCACUGAAGCGUGACUGCAGCGGGCCCCCUCUUAGGCAGUCAGUUGGCCCCACUUAUGAAAAUGUCUGGAUCUGGCACUGUUUGGAGUUGUUUGUUAAACUCUAAAGACCUCUAAAAUAUCAGGAAUCUAUUGAAUAGAAUUGGUAAAGUUAUAAUUUUGCAUCAGAUUUAUUGAUAUUUCUGACUUUUUUUGCAGAUGUAUCUCCUAUUUUCAAUGCAAACCUCUAUAGGAAUUUUAAAUUGUGAAUUUAUGGGACUUUUUUCUGUUUAUAUUUGGGGUAUAAUGCUUACAUUAAAACUUACUUUCUUUAAGAUUAGGGUAUAAUUUAUGCUAGAACUUGACUAAUAAAAGAAACUAAUUUACACAGAAAGAGCAGCAUUUUCGCCAUCCUGUGUUUUAAACUUCCCUUAUGUAACCAAUCGACACAUGUCAACAAAAUAUUGAGCUUGCUACUACAUGUAAGAAGUGUGUGCUUUAUUCUUACUAACCAAUAUGGAUAAAAAUAGAAAAAGGUACUUGUCAAUGUCUUUAAAUCAUAAAAAGUAGGGGAAAUCUUAUGUUGUAAAUUGUUUAGAAAUUCAAGAUCUGCCAUACUUCAUAAAAAGAUAAACAUAAGUAAUUGCAAUAAAUUUGACAAUAAAUAUUAAAGUGACAUAUUUCUCCAGGUGGCCAAUUCAAGUUUUUGGGAGCCCUUUGUUUGUCUGCCAAGUGACAAACAUUUUGGCUAUGGUUGUAUCAAAUAAAUCAUUGAGAUUUAAGUUAAAAGAAAUAUUACCUGCUUUAUACAAUUAAUAUUUCCUAAAACGCUUUUUUGCUUUUUUUAUUUCAGUCACCAGACAGGAUGGACAGCUCUGAUUACAGAAAUAUCAUACAAACUUCACAGUUGAAGGGAAGGCAGUUAUAUCCCCUCAGAGACAGUUUGUUGUCUCUUAGUUCAAAUAUACUUCUGAAAGCCACGAAGUUACAGAUGGUGGAUGGAUGAAUAGUGUGGACAAGUUCCAACCAUCGCUUAACAUAUGCUGCAUAUUUAUAUAUACCCAGCUUUAUACAGACUGGCAUAAUAUGACUGGUUUAAAACAAGCUAUCUUACACAUUAUACUAGUCUAUAGAAUGUCGUAUCGUUCUGUAUUAAUAAUUUUAAAGCCUACAAGAUUUUUCCAUUUGCCUAAAUGUGAUAAAGUCUUAGUAGAAAAAUACAUAAAGGAUGAGCCUCAAUAAAAAAGAUGCAACUGUUAUGUCUAUAGAUGAAAAGCAAAUUAUUAACCCCGAAUAUUCUCUCUUUCUUCUUUAUGAAUAUCUUCUAUCUGCUUUUGCAAGGGCCUGCAGUCCUAACACUGAAAUGUUUCCAGGAAUUCUGGAUGUUGUUUAGUGCUUUGUAUAAGUGGUAGCCUUCAGCAGUCAGUUCCGUUUUAUCAAGAUUAUUCAUCCUCUAUGCAUUCAGGCAUGAAAAGAGAGGUGAAGGAUACCAAACGGACAUUCAAACAUUCAAGUCGAAGACAAACCAACAAGGCAAUGACUAUAAAAACAGUACAUCAAACAACAUAGAAGAUCAAAGACUGAGCAACACAAACCCCACCAAAAACUAAGGGUGAUCUCUCUGGAGGGUUAAGCAGAUUCAGCUCCAUAUGUGCAAUUGUAGAUCAACUCAAUAUGAAAACUGAGUAAUUUGAUUAACCAAUGGUCUUUUAAAUAAAAAAUCAUCUGUUUGUCAGUAAUCGUCAGAAAUAAACAAGAGACUAUUCUCACCUAGGACAUUAUUUCAUGUGGAGAAGUUGUCGGUCUUGUAGAAAAGCAAAUGAUUGAGAAACAUUAUGCAAGUAGUUACUAAAUUUAACAUUAACUGCUCAGCAGGUUCUCCCUACUUAAAAUCAUAGAAAUAUGGUUUCUUUAUAAUACUGGAAAAUAUUUAAAGUUAGUCUAUCAUGAUUGUUCACACAAAAGUGAAAAGGAAAAGACGAUUUGUCAGUGUUAAAUACUUCAUUUAUUUUGUUUAUCAUUAACAUAUUUUUAUGUUUACAAUAUUUUUAAAUUUUAAACAUGGAAUUUAUCACAUUUA
This 3379-nucleotide long non-coding RNA is filed under the name Mytilus galloprovincialis (Mediterranean mussel). The record is from RNAcentral. Lineage: Eukaryota; Metazoa; Mollusca; Bivalvia; Mytilida; Mytilidae.